UACGGGAGGCAGCAGUGGGGAAUAUUGCACAAUGGGCGCAAGCCUGAUGCAGCAACGCCGCGUGAGGGAAGACGGUUUUCGGAUUGUAAACCUCUGUCUUUGGUGACGAAGAAGUGACGGUAGCCAAGGAGGAAGCCACGGCUAACUACGUGCCAGCAGCCGCGGUAAU
Molecule: ribosomal RNA, 169 nt
Filed under: uncultured rumen bacterium
Lineage: Bacteria
Description: partial 16S ribosomal RNA
Rfam family: Bacterial small subunit ribosomal RNA
Source: RNAcentral